Cyprinus carpio carpio is the source of this 1213-nucleotide long non-coding RNA. The record is from Ensembl. NCBI's taxonomy places the organism in Eukaryota, Metazoa, Chordata, Actinopteri, Cypriniformes, Cyprinidae.
AGGAAUGCACUACAUGUUUAACCAGAUGCCUUUGGAGCAGUCCAUUGAUUGGCAGGUCUGUUUUUCACCAGACAUUGAUGGCUUUAAUGGUGAAGGUGCCCCUUUGUUCAGAUUUUAUUAACUUGAGCCAGAAGAGGCUUAGCUUUAUCAUAAUAUUCCACAUCAGUUUCAGGGCUUAACCAGUGCAUUUUACAUGACGGUAAAUAACACUGUUGGUCAAAUAAUUCAUUAACACAACAAUAAAAAGAAUAAUAAUAGGCAAAUCUGUGCAUGUGCUUGAAGCUGAACAGAGACGAGUGAAGGGAAGGGAGGGGUAGACAGAGGCUAAUAGAGACAGCUUUGUCAUGUGAUUAGUGGUCUGCUCUGAAGGAAUCUGGCCAAUGACUAAACAGGAGGAGGUGUGGAAAGAUCAGCUAAUGGCUCGGAAUGCGGCAGCUAAAGAGGGAUUGGUUGUCUAGCCAGGAGAACACCUGUAAGACACAGAUGAGCGUACCUGAGCCAACCGUCCUGACCCAGUCAAUAUGCAAUUAUUUCAACUGAAGAUCCACCACUGUCCACAUCAAACGUUCCACAUUCCUUGGGCAGAUUAUCUUAAAUUAUCUUUUAUUAUUUUGGCCUGCAUGGACGAAUUGAACUCGAUCUGGUCCGCACUGUGAUGAAAUUCGAGACAGCUUGAAUGGCAGUGGUAUGCUUGGAGUUUGGAUAAUACUUACCUUUUAUGAAAGGGACAACGGCGGCAGGAGAUUAAUAACUGAACACUGAGUGCCUUCACUGAUACUAUCCCUCUGGUCGUCUUGUAAAAGCCUGUUGAGAGGUUAAAUUAAAUUGCUGUAAUAAAUGUUUGGUUUCAGCGAAGCUGUAUCAUUGAAAAUCAAACAAACACUGACAGGCUUUUGUGCGAUGAGGAUCAGAGAGGGAAAAUGAAUAGGCGUCAAGGGGCGGGGGGGCAUGUAGGGAAGUAUUAUGAACAUUUGAAACAGACUUGUUUUCACUUAAACAUUAAUUAAAUUGGCGCUAGAGGAACAAUUAUAUUGAUGAAUGUUUUUGGAGCUACUGUAAUUAAAUUAAUCCAUUUAAUUAACAAAUUAUAUUGAAUUUUUCCCCAGAGAGCAACAUUAGACUUGUGUUCUCUCUUACAAACAAGCAAAAAUAACGUUGAGGAAACGAUUGCAAAGAUCAGAAGGAAAUGAAACCGUGUCAAAUAAAAUACACA